Molecule: non-coding RNA, 72 nt
Organism: Bos taurus (domestic cattle)
Lineage: Eukaryota; Metazoa; Chordata; Mammalia; Artiodactyla; Bovidae
Source: Rfam
UCCCUGGUGGCUCAGACGGUAAAGCGACUGCCUGCAAUGCAGGAGACCCAGGUUCCAUCCCUGGGUUGGGAA